GGUUAAGCGACUAAGCGUACACGGUGGAUGCCCUGGCAGUCAGAGGCGAUGAAGGACGUGCUAAUCUGCGAUAAGCGCCGGUAAGGUGAUAUGAACCGUUAUAACCGGCGAUUUCCGAAUGGGGAAACCCAGUGUGAUUCGUCACACUAUCAUUAACUGAAUCCAUAGGUUAAUGAGGCGAACCGGGGGAACUGAAACAUCUAAGUACCCCGAGGAAAAGAAAUCAACCGAGAUUCCCCCAGUAGCGGCGAGCGAACGGGGAGGAGCCCAGAGCCUGAAUCAGCAUGUGUGUUAGUGGAAGCGUCUGGAAAGGCGCGCGAUACAGGGUGACAGCCCCGUACACAAAAGCGCAUUGCUGUGAGCUCGAUGAGUAGGGCGGGACACGUGGUAUCCUGUCUGAAUAUGGGGGGACCAUCCUCCAAGGCUAAAUACUCCUGACUGACCGAUAGUGAACCAGUACCGUGAGGGAAAGGCGAAAAGAACCCCGGCGAGGGGAGUGAAAAAGAACCUGAAACCGUGUACGUACAAGCAGUGGGAGC
RNAcentral lists this ribosomal RNA (539 nucleotides) under Salmonella enterica subsp. enterica serovar Senftenberg str. 423984-1. Its description in RNAcentral is "bacterial LSU rRNA". It matches the Rfam family "Bacterial large subunit ribosomal RNA", at positions 1 to 580 of the family's 2925-position model. Lineage: Bacteria; Pseudomonadati; Pseudomonadota; Gammaproteobacteria; Enterobacterales; Enterobacteriaceae. The record is from RNAcentral.